UCAAUUAUAUUACUCAUUUGUUCCAAGUAGAUACUGUGCUGAGCAAUGUUUUAAGUCUUUGUACUGGGCCUUGUACCGAUACCUUAUUGGUACAACACGAGAUGCUCUAGUACCAACACAUGGUACAUCGUUGGAGGUGGCACAACAAUGUAGCAUCUAUUGGUAUGAGGGAAAUACCGAUACCUUGACCAGGGGCGGCCCAAGCCUUAGGCGACCUAGGCGGUCGCCCAAGGCCCCGGCUUGAAGGAAGGCCCCCGCCAGACCGGCAGAUGCCGUCAUGCCGCAGACCACGACUCCUAAUCCUAGCGUCCCAGGCUCCAGCUCCCACACCCACAGUCCCACUCGGCAGUCUCGGC
This 356-nucleotide long non-coding RNA is filed under the name Phoenix dactylifera (date palm). RNAcentral's name for it is "long non-coding RNA (PDAC_LNC020926)". Lineage: Eukaryota; Viridiplantae; Streptophyta; Magnoliopsida; Arecales; Arecaceae. The record is from RNAcentral.